Molecule: ribosomal RNA, 253 nt
Filed under: uncultured bacterium
Lineage: Bacteria
Description: partial 16S ribosomal RNA
Rfam family: Bacterial small subunit ribosomal RNA
Source: RNAcentral
UACAGAGGUCCCAAGCGUUGUUCGGAUUCACUGGGCGUAAAGGGUGCGUAGGUGGUCAGGUAAGUCGGAUGUGAAAUCUCCGAGCUCAACUCGGAAACUGCAUUGGAAACUACCUGGCUCGAGGGUUGGAGGGGGGACUGGAAUGCUUGGUGUAGCAGUGAAAUGCGUAGAUAUCCGGAGGAACACCGGUGGCGAAGGCGGCUUCCUGGACCGACACUGACGCUGAGGCGCGAAAGCUAGGGGAGCAAACGGG